Ostrea edulis (European flat oyster) is the source of this 1137-nucleotide long non-coding RNA. RefSeq lists it as uncharacterized. NCBI's taxonomy places the organism in Eukaryota, Metazoa, Mollusca, Bivalvia, Ostreida, Ostreidae. The record is from RefSeq and is a predicted model, not a curated record. The transcript has 4 exons.
AUUAUUAGCCUGCUCGCGAGGGAGACAUCACGAUUUGUCUCCCGUCAUGUGACCGGUCCUCAACCAUUGAAAUUAAAUGUAUUAUUCUGGAGGAUGAUAACAUAAUUUAUUACACAAUGAUAAUUUCAUUUCUAUUUAUUUGCAGGAUAAUGUUGGUGUAUCAAAUCGUUGACUGAAAUUCCACCAUUUACAGCCGUAUUAUCACAGACAGGACAAUAUGCCCCCGCAGCACACAAGGAGAAGAUGAUGAUGGAGUAUCUGACCAAAUUAUUGACUGAAAUUCCACCAGUUAUACAGACAAAUCCUCAAAUCAUCACACAGGGAAAUAUGCCCCUGCAGCACAAUUCUCCAGUGUACUACAAAACUGUUAAUCCAGGGGUCUAGGUAGUAUUCUUCCAGCACUGAGAGAUUUGGGUCAAGCUGGACUGCAUGAAGAUCAAAGUAUAGUGUGAGGAGAUGAUUGGAUGUAAAGUUCUUCUCAGAUUCCAGGACCCACACUAAGGCCAGUCUGCUGGACUCAUUCUUGAUAAUGCCCUGGCCAUUCCACCAAAUUCACUGAUGAGCAGUGUGGGUCAGAUAAGUGACUGGACUGUGGAGAUUUAGAUACGCGUUGUGACGUCAUUGAUGGUCAACAGAAGACCGUGACCUUGGAUCAGAAGUCCUGACGUUUGGGGGUCACUCUCUAUUACUGUGCUACACAGCUAAGUAAGUACUCAGUCAUAAUGUAAGAUGAGAUGUACUACAUAUCUAAGUACUCAGUCAUAAUGUAAGAUCAGAUGUACUACAUAUCUAAAUACUCAGUCAUAAUGUAAGAUCAGAUGUACUACACAGCUAAGUAAGUACUCAGUCAUAAUGUAAGAUCAGAUGUACUACAUAUCUAAGUAAGUACUCAGUCAUAAUGUAAGAUCAGAUGUACUACAUAUCUAAGUAAGUACUCAGUCAUAAUGUAAGAUCAGAUGUACUACAUAUCUAAGUAAGUACUCAGUCAUAAUGUAAGAUCAGAUGUACUACACAGCUAAGUAAGUACUCAGUCAUAAUGUAAGAUCAGAUGUACUACAUAUCUAAGUAAGUACUCAGUCAUAAUGUAAGAUCAGAUGUACUACAUAUCUAAGUAAGUACUCAGUCAUAAUGUAAGAU